RNAcentral lists this ribosomal RNA (164 nucleotides) under Berkheya cuneata. RNAcentral describes it as "5.8S ribosomal RNA". It matches the Rfam family "5.8S ribosomal RNA". Rfam says of the family: 5.8S ribosomal RNA (5.8S rRNA) is a component of the large subunit of the eukaryotic ribosome. Lineage: Eukaryota; Viridiplantae; Streptophyta; Magnoliopsida; Asterales; Asteraceae. The record is from RNAcentral.
AACGACUCUCGGCAACGGAUAUCUCGGCUCACGCAUCGAUGAAGAACGUAGCAAAAUGCGAUACUUGGUGUGAAUUGCAGAAUCCCGUGAACCAUCGAGUUUUUGAACGCAAGUUGCGCCCGAAGCCAUUCGGCCGAGGGCAUGUCUGCCUGGGCGUCACGCAU